GUGCAGAUCCGCAGCUGGCAUUCGGUGUAUACCCACCGACGACUUCGACGCAAGGUAUGAUUCUUCGGCACCGGCUCGCGGUGGUUGCAGGGAAGCACAUGGGAGGAAAAUGGACACGCAGAGUAGUGAGCACAGGAAGUUGGAAUGCUGGGGCCAGGUUCUAUUAUGAGGCAAACAUUGUUGGUGUAAGCAUCGACAGCACAACGUACUCCCAGUGCUACCCCGCCAC
Rhipicephalus microplus (southern cattle tick) is the source of this 229-nucleotide long non-coding RNA. The record is from RefSeq and is a predicted model, not a curated record. Lineage: Eukaryota; Metazoa; Arthropoda; Arachnida; Ixodida; Ixodidae.